GAUGAACGCUGGCGGCGUGCUUAACACAUGCAAGUCGAACGAAGCAACUUAUUACGAUCCCUUCGGGGUGACGAUUUGUUGACUGAGUGGCGGACGGGUGAGUAACGCGUGGGUAACCUACCUUGUACAGGGGGACAACAGUUGGAAACGACUGCUAAUACCGCAUAAGCGCACAGCUUCGCAUGAAGCAGUGUGAAAAGUUUUUCGGUACAAGAUGGACCCGCGUCUGAUUAGCUAGUUGGUGAGGUAACGGCCCACCAAGGCGACGAUCAGUAGCCGACCUGAGAGGGUGACCGGCCACAUUGGGACUGAGACACGGCCCAAACUCCUACGGGAGGCAGCAGUGGGGAAUAUUGCACAAUGGGCGAAAGCCUGAUGCAGCGACGCCGCGUGAGCGAAGAAGUAUUUCGGUAUGUAAAGCUCUAUCAGCAGGAAGAUAAUGACGUAC
This 448-nucleotide ribosomal RNA is filed under the name bacterium AD2011. RNAcentral describes it as "bacterial SSU rRNA". It matches the Rfam family "Bacterial small subunit ribosomal RNA", at positions 28 to 459 of the family's 1533-position model. The record is from RNAcentral.